UCGCCGACAGCAAGCUGCCCGACAUGCAGGCGGGCUGGGAACAGGCGAUCUCCAACACGCUGGCGGGGCUUGCCGGCCUCAACAUGGUCUAUGAGGCGG
Rubellimicrobium thermophilum DSM 16684 is the source of this 99-nucleotide regulatory RNA element. It matches the Rfam family "Pyrrolysine insertion sequence mttB". Lineage: Bacteria; Pseudomonadati; Pseudomonadota; Alphaproteobacteria; Rhodobacterales; Roseobacteraceae. The record is from Rfam.